AGAGUUUGAUCCUGGCUCAGAACGAACGCUGGCGGCGUGCUUAACACAUGCAAGUCGAACGGGAUCCUAGGCUUCGGUUUAGGUGAGAGUGGCGCACGGGUGAGUAACGCGUGGGAACCUGCCCAGAGGUACGGAAUAACGUCGGGAAACUGGCGCUAAUACCGUAUGAGCCCUUCGGGGGAAAGAUUUAUCGCCUUUGGAUGGUCCCGCGUCCGAUUAGCUUGUUGGUGAGGUAAUGGCUCACCAAGGCUUCGAUCGGUAGCUGGUCUAAGAGGAUGAUCAGCCACACUGGGACUGAGACACGGCCCAGACUCCUACGGGAGGCAGCAGUGGGGAAUAUUGGACAAUGGGCGAAAGCCUGAUCCAGCAACGCCGCGUGGAUGAAGAAGGCCUUCGGGUUGUAAAGUCCUUUCGACGGGGACGAUGAUGACGGUACCCGUAGAAGAAGCCCCGGCUAACUUCGUGCCAGCAGCCGCGGUAAUACGAAGGGGGCUAGCGUUGUUCGGAAUUACUGGGCGUAAAGGGCGUGUAGGCGGACCAACCAGUCAGGGGUGAAAUCCCGGGGCUCAACCUCGGAACUGCCUUUGAUACUGUUGGUCUUGAGGACAGGAGAGGGUCGUGAAUUCCCAGUGUAGAGGUGAAAUUCGUAGAUAUUGGGAAGAACACCGGUGGCGAAGGCGGCGACCUGUCUGUAUCUGACGCUGAGGCGCGAAAGCGUGGGGAGCAAACAGGAUUAGAUACCCUGUAGUCUUAGCUGUAAACGAUGGAUACUAGGCGUAGCUUGUAUCGACCCGAGCUGUGCCGAAGCAAACGCGUUAAGUAUCCCGCCUGGGGAGUACGCACGCAAGUGUGAAACUCAAAGGAAUUGACGGGGGCCCGCACAAGCGGUGGAGUAUGUGGUUUAAUUCGAUGCAACGCGAAGAACCUUACCAGGACUUGACAUGUCGCUCAUUCCGGGGAAACUCGGAAGUGCCUUCGGGAGCGCGAACACAGGUGGUGCAUGGCUGUCGUCAGCUCGUGUCGUGAGAUGUUGGGUUAAGUCCCGCAACGAGCGCAACCCUCGUCCUUAGUUGCCAGCAUUAAGUUGGGCACUCUAGGGAGACUGCCGGUGACAAACCGGAGGAAGGUGGGGAUGACGUCAAGUCAGCAUGCCCCUUACGUUCUGGGCUACACACGUACUACAAUGGUUGAGACAAAGGGCAGCGAGCGAGCGAGCGUAAGCGAAUCUCAUCAAACUCAGCCUCAGUUCAGAUUGCAGGCUGCAACUCGCCUGCAUGAAGGAGGAAUCGCUAGUAAUCGCAGGUCAGAAUACUGCGGUGAAUCCGUUCCCGGGCCUUGUACACACCGCCCGUCACACCAUGGAAGCUGGCCACGCCCGAAGUCGUUACCCUAACCCUUUUUGGGAGGGGGAUGCCGAAGGCAGGGCUAGUGACUGGGGUGAAGUCGUAACAAGGUAGCCGUACCGGAAGGUGUGGCUGGAUCACCUCCUUA
Molecule: ribosomal RNA, 1491 nt
Filed under: uncultured bacterium
Lineage: Bacteria
Description: partial 16S ribosomal RNA
Rfam family: Bacterial small subunit ribosomal RNA
Source: RNAcentral